This 673-nucleotide ribosomal RNA is filed under the name Roseburia intestinalis. RNAcentral's name for it is "partial 23S ribosomal RNA". It matches the Rfam family "Bacterial large subunit ribosomal RNA", at positions 13 to 669 of the family's 2925-position model. The record is from RNAcentral. Lineage: Bacteria; Bacillati; Bacillota; Clostridia; Lachnospirales; Lachnospiraceae.
AAAGAGCGCAGGGUGGAUGCCUUGGCACUAAGAGCCGAAGAAAGACGUGAUAAGCUGCGAAAAGCUGCGGGGAGGAGCAAAUAUCCAUUGAGCCGCAGAUAUCUGAAUGGGGAAACCCGGCUGGACGAACUCCAGUCAUCCAUACGCCAAUCCAUAACGUAUGGAAGGGAACCCGGUGAACUGAAACAUCUAAGUAGCCGGAGGAAUAGAAAGAAACAAGUUCUUUCAUUAGAAAGAAAAAUCGAUUUCCAAAGUAGCGGCGAGCGAAAUGGAAAGAGGCCAAACCAUGGUGCGUGCACUGUGGGGUUCGGACCGCAUAAUUGAUUCGUUGAUCCUAGCAGAAAGGUUUUGGGAAAGCCUGCCAGAGAGGGUGAAAGCCCCGUAAGCGAAAGGAAAGAUGACAUGGCGGAAUCCAGAGUACAUCGAGACACGAGAAACCUUGAUGGAAUGAGCGGGGACCACCCCGUAAGCCUAAAUACUCCUUAGUGACCGAUAGCGCAUAGUACUGUGAAGGAAAGGUGAAAAGGACCCCGGGAGGGGAGUGAAAGAGAACCUGAAACCCUGUGUUUACAAGCUGUGGAACAUCUUUAAAUGAUGAACCGCGUACUUUUUGUAGAACGGUCCGGCGAGUUACGCGUGCCGGCAAGGUUAAGCACUUAAGGUGUGGAGCCGA